UACGUAGGGUGCGAGCGUUAAUCGGAAUUACUGGGCGUAAAGCGUGCGCAGGCGGCUUUGCAAGACAGAUGUGAAAUCCCCGGGCUCAACCUGGGAACUGCAUUUGUGACUGCAAGGCUAGAAUACGGCAGAGGGGGAUGGAAUUCCGCGUGUAGCAGUGAAAUGCGUAGAUAUGCGGAGGAACACCAAUGGCGAAGGCAAUCCCCUGGGCCUGUACUGACGCUCAUGCACGAAAGCGUGGGGAGCAAACAGG
RNAcentral lists this ribosomal RNA (253 nucleotides) under uncultured bacterium. Its description in RNAcentral is "partial 16S ribosomal RNA". It matches the Rfam family "Bacterial small subunit ribosomal RNA", at positions 524 to 776 of the family's 1533-position model. The record is from RNAcentral.